This 52-nucleotide unclassified non-coding RNA is filed under the name Pedobacter suwonensis. RNAcentral's name for it is "Flavo-1 RNA". The record is from RNAcentral. Lineage: Bacteria; Pseudomonadati; Bacteroidota; Sphingobacteriia; Sphingobacteriales; Sphingobacteriaceae.
ACCUAAACCCAAUGGAAGCGGUCACGCAGUAAAGCGGACAGUGGGACUGCGU